GACAGAGGGUGCAACCGUUGUUCGGAUUUACUGGGCGUAAAGCGCGUGUAGGCGGCUUUGCAAGUCGGAUGUGAAAGCCCCCGGCUCAACCGGGGAGGGUCGUCGGGGACGGGAUCGCUUGAGGACGGCAGGGGCAGGUGGAAUUCCCGGUGUAGUGGUGAAAUGCGUAGAGAUCGGGAGGAACACCCGUGGCGAAGGCGGCCUGCUGGGCCGAUCCCGACGCUGAGGCGCGAAGGCGUGGGGAGCGAACGGG
RNAcentral lists this ribosomal RNA (253 nucleotides) under uncultured bacterium. RNAcentral describes it as "partial 16S ribosomal RNA". It matches the Rfam family "Bacterial small subunit ribosomal RNA", at positions 524 to 776 of the family's 1533-position model. The record is from RNAcentral.